Molecule: long non-coding RNA, 3070 nt
Organism: Monomorium pharaonis (pharaoh ant)
Lineage: Eukaryota; Metazoa; Arthropoda; Insecta; Hymenoptera; Formicidae
Exons: 2
Source: RefSeq, a predicted model, not a curated record
AUACCUUUGGUAAUAAUUAUAAACAUUUCAUUAUAAGUACAUUAUUUUGUUACAAUUACCUUACGUUUAGUUGAAACUAUUUCUCUAAGGUUUUGGGUAAUUUAGACCAAGGCUGGAUUAUCAUAACCAAGUCUUUUUUUCAGUGUACUUCUCACACGGCACUCCCGACGCGCGCUUGUUUUGUUACUCGCGCCGGUGCAACAACACGCCCGUAAACAACGCCGAACGUGUGAUCUCCGCGCCGAAUUAUCAAUACUGGCCGAACGAUCGAUCGACAUCGUCCUCUCGCACUCGCGGUAAUUAACGGGAUGGUAUCCGCGGUAAGUUUACGGCACGGGGGCUACACGAGCUAAAACAAAAACUGCGGGGGCGACGCGAGUUACAAUAAAAGUCACGGGGUCUACACGAGUUAAAACAAAAAUUGCGGGGGCUACGCGAGCUACAACAAAAAUCGCGGGGAAGGGGGAGGGGGGACCGGAGGCUUCGCUCCGACGGAGACGCCCACGACGCAAGUGCGCGACAAGAUCAUCAUCUCCGACCGUCCCCCGAGAGCGACGCGCGACUAUCAGGAACUAUCGGCGACGAUUCCGUUGUCGCGUCCACCGUGAUUUGACCACCUAACCAAGACGCCUGGUACUCGAUCGCCCGGCAUCUCGCAGUCCCCGCGGAGGAUCUUUCCGUCGUCACACUCGCGAGUCACGACAAGACGACGAUCAACGAGAUACGUGGACGAUCAUCUGCUCGUCAUCUCAUCCGACACUCCCGGCGUGUCCACAGUGCACUCGCGAUACGCGAGUCAACGACAACGCGGAAACAUGGCGAUCGUCCAUUGUCUCUUGUUGACGGGCACAGGUGUGGCGUGCCCACUCGCGACGAGUAAGUAAUCAACGCGACGCCACUCGCCGGGGACGCCCGACACCCCGACGCUGAUUCCGCUCGGGAUUACGCACGAAAUACGCGACGACGACCGUCCGCUGCCGUCGUCGGAGCGACGCGACGUCUCCGCCGAUCGACACCUCUGCCAACUUCGGCACGUAAGGCGUGACGUUCGCGAACGAAGCCUCCGACCCCCCUCGCGGUUUUUGGCGCCGCUCGUGUGACCCCCGUGCAAGUGCACUUACCCGCCUAAUUGCGGCGCCAUUGCGCCUCGUUGUGCCGGACGUUGCUCGUGUGCGUGUCGAACGGUCAACAAAUCCCGAAAUACGCGGCGGUCGAGCGAUGGGUGGAGUACCCGACGAUGAUACGAUUGAGCGGCCGGUCGCUCAGAUACGCGUAAUCACCUUGGCGCGUCCUACCGUCGUUCGCAGCGUUUACGGCUGGGAUCCAACCUCGCGCGGUUAACCUCGCGGCACGUCGAGUUGUUGUUGAUCGCCGGGGUGAUGACGAUUGAUACGGGAUCGAUGCCUUGCACGGCGAAGAGCCCUUCCCCUUGCGUUUCGCCGGCAAAUCCGUCGUGUAAAGACGAGUACCGGGAGUCGAGAUCUCCGGGCUAAGUGAAGUGUUAUGUCCGCAAGCUGUACGUGUGUACACGGAGUAAGCGCAACAAGGAUGCCCGCAACGAUUCUGGAGCCGACCUGGUGGCGGUGUCAGGGAGAUCAAGGAUGCCCGCAACGGUUCUGGAGCCGACCUGGUGGCGGUGUCAGGGAGAUCAAUUGAAUAUUCAAGGAGAAACUCACGCUUCGCCCGGUUCUGACCGCCCAAGAACACGCACGCAAUCCCUCUCGCAUCGCAAUCGCGCGAAGUGGGUAAGUGGGAAUAUGUAUCAGACGCAUAUUUCACUCUCGUGACUGACGGUUGUUCGGCGUAGAGCUGUUAACGUUAAUAAGUAUCGUGUGCACGUGUCGACAAAAUCAGGCCAAUUUGCACGACCGAAACGUAACCCGCGUGACGUUAAUUAUCGCUGUAGCGACGAAUGCUUCUUAUUUGCCUCGCGUUUGUUUUUUUGCGUUUAUGUUGCCGCGACCCCCAAGAAUAUCGCGUCAAUAAAAGCCCCUUUUAGCGUGCGGAAUUAUUAAGUUUACCUUUCUCGUGAGUUUUAUCUCAUUCAGGGAUAUUAGUAGCGAAUUAUCACCGCGAGACAUAUACAUAUCUGCAUGCGCAUAUAUGUAUAAGAUUGUGGUAAACCAAUUUGCAUAGGUCGACUUAGAAGGUUUAAUGCCGCCAUAUCUGUGUGUCGGUUUUCCAACCGCCAAUAGCAAUUUGGCUCACGAUACGCUUAAGUCUAAUAAACCGCAUACAUUUGCCAAAAACAUGUUUCGUGAUUUAUGGCAAUCGAUAUAACUGUUACGAUCGAAAGUUGAGUUUCUGCGAGGAGAAAACUAAUUUACACAUUAAAUCAAACCUAAAAGGUGCGAAAUUAAUCUGACGGGAAUUAAUAGAAAAUUAUUUCUCUAUUAAUUUCAUUAAGUCCCAUAAAGGCACUAUUGAAAGAUUGAUGCUAUUUUGAAGGUACUUUGCGUUUGUCAGGCUUGAUUAAAUUGCAAUGAAUUGAACCGUACGGUAAAUCAAGGGGAAUAGGUAUUGACAUUGUUUCUUAAUGAAAACCUCGAGUUAGAAUCGACGUCGAACCGUUGUCAACUUGUCGAUAUUAUUUUACAUCCCUUGGCAGACGUUCCUUCCGUUCGUGUGUCGUUUGCUUACGUUACUGCGAAUGUGUCUACAGCAUCCGCCGCAGGAUUUGCAGUGAGAAGUAUCAGGUGUGCGAUAUCGACACGCGCGAGGGUGUAUCGCCCGGCGACCAAUUUCCAUCACUCGAGAUAUAUUAUGCGCGUCUCUAUCGCACUCGAUGCCCCGAACACGAGAGAAACGAAUGAAAACUAAUCGUCCUCUCCGGAGACUCGACGUCGAGUUGUACGGUAAUGAGCGUCAAAUUGCCAUUACAUUCCCUAAGGAGGGAAGAUACUUGCUGCUUCGAGGUAAAUUCUCAACCUGGAAAUGCAGGGACAUAAGGAAACGCUUACGUGAAAUUUCGCUGGUGAAUAUUUUAUGGCCCGUCUUUAUAUAGUAUAUAUAAAACAGCUUCGCUUAUGAUUACUCUACAGGCAGGCAAAAAAAUAAAUAAAAGCAUCGA